CGCCAUUUUCAAUCGCGAAUUUGGGUGGUAAAUAAUAAUGCGUCUCUUACUUUCCGUUUCUACCAGGUAGGAAAAAACUAUUCGGUGGUCGACAGACUGGACAGAAAUGCAGGCUCGACCAUGUCGCUUCAGAGGCGUAGUGCAGGCAGUUUCCGAAAUUUUCGGAAACCAGAUGUACGUCCUGAUGACGUUCAAGGAUCCAGACAACGUCGAACGUGUUGCUCCGGUUAUCAUCGUAGAUGACACGGUACUCUGUCAACAAACAAA
Molecule: long non-coding RNA, 267 nt
Organism: Ixodes scapularis (black-legged tick)
Lineage: Eukaryota; Metazoa; Arthropoda; Arachnida; Ixodida; Ixodidae
Exons: 3
Source: RefSeq, a predicted model, not a curated record